GGAGAAAACUCAAGCUGGCACCAACUUUCAGACCUCCACAGUCGUAUAGACCUACUCUCGGAGAGUUUUUUAAGCAUUUUCCAUCAUCUUCUCUAGGCCUACUCAGCACUUUACUUGCUUUGGAGCCUUCAUAUCGUGGCUCUGCAUCUUUAGCCCUCGAGAAUGAAUUCUUUUACACAAGCCCACUGGCAUGCGGCCUUUCAGAUCUUCC
RNAcentral lists this unclassified non-coding RNA (211 nucleotides) under Hevea brasiliensis (rubber tree). The record is from RNAcentral. Lineage: Eukaryota; Viridiplantae; Streptophyta; Magnoliopsida; Malpighiales; Euphorbiaceae.